UUUUUUUUUUUUUUUUUUUGGUCUUUCGCCUUUCAUUUUAUUUCGUAAUAUAUUUUUGAAUUCCAUGCAAAUUCAACCAGUAUAAAGAAAAGAUGCUUCUUCAUUCUCAUAUGUUUUCUGUUUCUUCAAUCUCUUGGGAUUUUUCCCUCUUCAAUCAAAAAGUGAAUUCAUGUCACUUGGCCAUGCGUUGUUUCACUACAGAGCUGAUGGACUGGUGGCUGACUACCUAUCUCAUAAUCUAGGACAUUACAAGUUUGGCACCCAUACCCUACCAUCAGUAUAAAAAUUGCCUUUCUUUAAAUUUUUUGUUUUCUAAUGUGGCAUUUGCAUAAAUUGUAUAAAUAUUUAGAUAUUUGUUAAUUCCUCUUCAUUUAUUAUCUUAUCUGCUCCAUUUAUGUUUAGAAGUAGGAAUUAUAUGCACUGUAAAAUUAAAAUAAAUAAAUAAAUAAGUACAGAAUUGUAGAACUACAUCCUAACUUUAAAAAAUUUCAGAUUUACACCAAAAGACCUCAAGAGCUGAAGAACUUGACCAUUUGCAGUGCAGCUAUAAGUAACAUUAUAUUGAUACUUAUUAAUGACUUGAAUUAAACGGGCAGAGAUGAAUGAGUGGGCAAAGUGAGAUGGGCAUACUUGGACUUGGACCAACUAUUGCUAAAAAGUUACAACUAACCAAUUAGUUAGCUGGACCUCCAACCUAAGGUAAUUAAAAGCGUAAGGCACACUCAAAGCAGUGUAUAAUCUCAUCGCUUAAAGGGCAAAAAAAGUGCUCACUUCAUUGGAGGAAGCGCAAAAUUAUUAAAAAAUUAACUAAUAAUAUAAUAUGCAAAGAAAAUACAAUUCUCUAUAUAAAAUUUAAAUCCUUAAGAAAUCAUUAAAUAUCCAAAAGUUUUUAGCAUUCAAAUUCAUAUUCAUAACCUAAAAAUCUUAACUAGAUUUCCUAUCAAAGUCCAAACACUUUCAUCCUCAUCUCCAAAAUAAGAUCAAUUUCUAUCAAAAUCUUCAUCUAAAUAAGUCUCAACAUCUUCCAACGUUGGUCUUGCAAUUAAGUGCAAAAUGCCCUCGCUUCACUAAACGCACUUCAAUUAGCAUAUGUAAAAGCGCUUUCCAUAUAGCCGACCCCAAAUUCU
RNAcentral lists this unclassified non-coding RNA (1127 nucleotides) under Hevea brasiliensis (rubber tree). Lineage: Eukaryota; Viridiplantae; Streptophyta; Magnoliopsida; Malpighiales; Euphorbiaceae. The record is from RNAcentral.